UACUGGAUCUGAGCCUGACCCAGAACAAGCAGCAUGAUGCUCACGGGGCCAAGCUCCUGAAUGGAAGCCAUUGUCCCAGCCAUGACCUUCCCAGGCCCAGGCCCAGGCCCACCCACGAGGACCUGAACCCUGGCCUGGAAAUACCUUCUGGGCCAUCCGGAGCUCCUGCUUCACAGCCUGGAUCUGGUUGCGGAGGUCACUCAUCUUCAGAUCGGGUGGACUAGACUUCUGGGAAACAGGAUGGGUCCUGCAGCGGCUUUCUGAACUUUCCUUAGUAGCCACAGGCAAAACCGCCUGUGAACGCUAGUGUGAAAGAUAGAUCCCAGAAGACUGGGUCUGGGGAGUUCCAUGGACCCCAGAGGCUCUGGGCAGCCCCGCUGAAAACCACUGGUCAAGGAAACUAGACCUGCACACAGGGCCCAGAAGGCCUGGACUCAUCUGGUCUUCUCAUCUAGGAAACGGCUGCUUCCUCACAGCACCCCCAGGAGGCCAAACAGAGUAACCAGUGUGAGCAGAAUUUGCAAAUUGGGAAUUUACGUAAAACACACAUGCAUCUUUCUUUAAUCUAUAUUUUGGUAUGUCCUUCUGCCGCCUGGCUGUAUGCCAUCCCUCCCCACUGCUGUUGGGAGCCUCUCUGCUCCCCUGCUAAGGUGCUGCUUUGAAUCUGCCCUGCGUUGGGAAGCAACAGUCCCUGCCUGUCAGAUCUUCGGUGCCCUGAGCCCCCUGCUGGCUCUGGUGGGUGGCGGUACAGGAGCCGUGAGAGCAUUUGGGAGCCUGAGGGCACGGAAAGAGCACACCGAUUGGAUCCGGAUCUGAGACCCAGGCGGCGGCAACAACCGUCUCCAAGCCUCGUUUCCUCUUCUGUGAAAGGGGGGCACGUUAUACCAGCCUCCAGGGUACAUAAGAUGCCCGGGAAAACACGUGUCCCGAGGAAUGGAGACUGCAACCCACCACGCACUCUUCCGUCAGAAACCUCCCAGGCUCCCUGCAGCCACAGAAUGAAGUUGGACUUCCUAUUCCAGCUACCAUCAAGGCCUCCCUCCACAGGUGACCCCGCCCCAGCUUUGUUUGGAUGUGUUCCCCUUUUCCUCCUCAGGGGCCCUGGGCUGCAGCCAAACAUUAUCCAGCUGAUGCCCAGCUAACAAACAAAAUAGGAAUAUUGAUGCUUUCCUGCUCUGAGCUUGCACUGCUUCUGCUGGAAGGGCCACCCCCAUCUUCCUGCUCCAGCAAGGCCACUUGAGGAAGCCCUCAUCCAUCCCACCUCCUGGCUGCCU
This is a long non-coding RNA of Balaenoptera acutorostrata (minke whale), 1274 nucleotides long. RefSeq lists it as uncharacterized. Lineage: Eukaryota; Metazoa; Chordata; Mammalia; Artiodactyla; Balaenopteridae. The transcript has 3 exons. The record is from RefSeq and is a predicted model, not a curated record.